AGCGAACGCUGGCGGCAGGCCUAACACAUGCAAGUCGAACGAACUCUUCGGAGUUAGUGGCGGACGGGUGAGUAACACGUGGGAACGUGCCUUUUGGCUCGGAAUAACUCAGGGAAACUUGUGCUAAUACCGAAUGUGCCCUUCGGGGGAAAGAUUUAUCGCCAUUAGAGCGGCCCGCGUCUGAUUAGCUAGUUGGUGAGGUAACGGCUCACCAAGGCGACGAUCAGUAGCUGGUCUGAGAGGAUGACCAGCCACACCGGGACUGAGACACGGCCCAGACUCCUACGGGAAGCAGCAGUGGGGAAUCUUGCGCAAUGGGCGAAAGCCUGACGCAGCCAUGCCGCGUGAAUGAUGAAGGUCUUAGGAUUGUAAAAUUCUUUCACCGGGGACGAUAAUGACGGUACCCGGAGAAGAAGCCCCGGCUAACUUCGUG
Molecule: ribosomal RNA, 433 nt
Filed under: uncultured bacterium
Lineage: Bacteria
Description: partial 16S ribosomal RNA
Rfam family: Bacterial small subunit ribosomal RNA
Source: RNAcentral